GAUGAACGCUGGCGGCGUGCCUAAUACAUGCAAGUAGAACGCUGAAGGAAGGAGCUUGCUCUUUCCGGAUGAGUUGCGAACGGGUGAGUAACGCGUAGGUAACCUGCCUGGUAGCGGGGGAUAACUAUUGGAAACGAUAGCUAAUACCGCAUAACAGUAGAUGUUGCAUGAUAUCUACUUAAAAGGUGCAAUUGCACCACUACCAGAUGGACCUGCGUUGUAUUAGCUAGUUGGUGAGGUAACGGCUCACCAAGGCGACGAUACAUAGCCGACCUGAGAGGGUGGUCGGCCACACUGGGACUGAGACACGGCCCAGACUCCUACGGGAGGCAGCAGUAGGGAAUCUUCGGCAAUGGACGGAAGUCUGACCGAGCAACGCCGCGUGAGUGAAGAAGGGUUUCGGAUCGUAAAGCUCUGUUGUAAGAGAAGAACGAGUGUGAGAGUGGAAAGUUCACACUGUGACGGUAUCUUACCAGAAAGGGACGGCUAACUACGUG
This 497-nucleotide ribosomal RNA is filed under the name uncultured bacterium. Its description in RNAcentral is "partial 16S ribosomal RNA". It matches the Rfam family "Bacterial small subunit ribosomal RNA", at positions 28 to 507 of the family's 1533-position model. The record is from RNAcentral.